GAUUUUCUAUGAAUGUUUUUAUAAUAGUAACAUCAGAGUGGAUUACAUGUGUGUGACGAUUCGCUUUGCAAAUGAAACAAUGCCAGAAGCGCAACUUCUAGUAAAACACAGGUGCCGUGGCGUUAGCCAACUUGUAAAUCAUGUCUGUUCGGACUAUAGUAAAUUGUAACGACUACUUUUGUGUCACAUAUAGCUCAUUGAAGAUCUACUUGUAAGAUCAUUGAAUCAAUAUUCGUCAUUUCUUGAAGAAUGAUAGAUCAAGCAACGAACUACGUAAUGUUAUAAUUCAUUCAGUCCAAUGCUCGUCACUCCCUCUAUUCUUGAAAUGGUGCUACCAACUGAAAUCAUGGAUGCACCAUAAUUAGGAUUGAAGUGAAGAAAUUACAAGCGAGCACGAGGGAGGCAAAAGAGAAUCACAAGAUAUAGGUACAAUAAUUUUAUGUGGCCAGAGUAAUUGAAGUUAGGUCCCACUUGAUUUGGACCACAUUUAUGUUUUCUAUAAAUAACCUAGCAUGUUCUUAAUGUGCUCCGAUUACAAUAUAACAGUCAUAUGUAGGUCCUACAUGAUCAUUAUAUCAUCUUCAGUUCAUGAACUAAUCCAGAUAUAUGAAGUUAGUCGAGUUACCAACAUAUUUACCACGGGUCAUGACUGAAAUCAAUCAUGCAACUCUUUCCAAUCGAGUUGUUCAUAGCUCUAGAUCGAUAAGUGAGGCUAAACUUUUGUAUGUAUGCCAUUUUUUCUUAAUUUCAAUUUUAGCUAUCCAUAUUCUUCUUUGAAGUUGAAAAAAAGAAAAGAAAAGAAAAGAAAAAGAAAUUGAUUGCUUUUAUACAGAUGAGAAAAAGGAAAAAAGGUUCACGGAAUUGUUUGUGGAGAAGCAUCUUUUUCUUAUUGUGGGAGGGGAUAAGACAAGUCGACAU
Molecule: long non-coding RNA, 918 nt
Filed under: Olea europaea subsp. europaea
Lineage: Eukaryota; Viridiplantae; Streptophyta; Magnoliopsida; Lamiales; Oleaceae
Source: RNAcentral